This is a long non-coding RNA of Equus caballus (horse), 1635 nucleotides long. The record is from Ensembl. NCBI's taxonomy places the organism in Eukaryota, Metazoa, Chordata, Mammalia, Perissodactyla, Equidae.
CUGGCUGCAGUGUCCCUGGAGUGGUUGCAGUGUCCCGUGUUGUGCCCAUUAGUGUGGAUGCAGUGCCCAUGCAGUCAAUGGAGAGUACCAAAAGUUGGAUGCCGUAUGUUGUGACAGAGGAUGCAGAGCCCUGGAGUUGGAUGCAGUGAGCCAGAAGUGAUUGCAGUACGCCUUCAGUGCCACUUCAGCUGGAUGCAGUGUCCCUGCAGUGGUUGCAAUGCCCCCUGCAUUGUCUUGGAAUGUGGAUGCCGUGCUCCUGCAGUGGAUGCAGUGUCCCACAAUGUGGAGGCAUUGUGGUGUGUUGUAGUAUGCAGUGCCUAUGCAGUGGAUGCAGUGAAUCUUCAGUGAUUGCACUGCACCUGCAUUGCCACUUCAGCUGGAUGCAGUGUAGCUGAAGUGGUUGCAGAGCCCACUCCCAUGUCCCUGAAUGUGGAUGCUGUGCACAUGCAGUGUCUGCAGUGUGACUCAAGGCGGAUGCAGUAUGUUGUGAAGCAGGAUUCAGUGCCCAUGAAGGACGAUGCAGUGAUCCUGCAGUCAUUGCAAUGCACCUGCAGUGCCACUUCAUCUGGAUGCAGUGUCCCUGCAGUGGUUGAAGUGCACCCUGCUGUGUCCCUGAAUGUGGAUGCUGUCAACAUGCAGUGGAUGCAGUGAUCAUGCAGUGAUUGCAGUGCACAUGCAUUUCCUCAUCAGCUGGAAGCAGUGUUGUUGCAGUGGUUGCAGUGUCACCUUCUGUGUCCCUGAAGGUGAAUGCAGUGCCCAUGCAGAGAGGGCAGUGUCCCUAAAGGUUUAUGCAGUAUGUUGUGACAGAGGAUGCAGUGUGCAUGAAGGUGGAAGCAGUGUCUCUGCAGUGGUUGCAGGGCCCCCAGCAUUGUGCUGGAAUGUGGAUGCAGUGCUCAUGCAGUAGCUGCAGUGUCCCACAAUGUGGUGGCAUUGUGUGUUGUAGUAUGCAGUGCCAAUGAAGGUGAAUUCAGUGACCCAACCGUAGACGUCAGUGCACCUUCAGUGCCACUUUAGUUGGAUGCAGUGUUGUUGCAGUGGUUGCAGUGCCCCCUGCAUUGUGCAGGAAUGUGGAUGCAGUGCCCAGGCAGUGGAUGCAGUGUCCCACAAUGUGCAUGCAGUAUGUUGUGAUGGAGGAUGCAGUGCCCAUGAAGGUGGAUGCAGUGAUCCUACAGUGGUUGCAGUGCCCCCUGCAUUUUACCUGAAUGUGGAUGCAGUGCUCAUGCAGUGGAUGCAGUGUCCCUCAAUGUGGCUGGCGUAUGUUGUGAUGGAGGAUUUAGUGAUCAUGAAGGAGGAUGCAGUGAUUCUGCAGUCAUUGCAAUGCCCCUGCAGUUCCACUUCAGCUGGCUGCAGUGAUCCUGCAGUGGUUGCAAUGCCCCCUGCAUUGUCCUGGAAUGUGGAUGCAGUGCUCAUGCACUGGUUGCAGUGUCCCACACUGUGGAGUCAUUGCGGUGUGUUGUAGUAUGCAGUGACAAUGAAGGUGGAUGCAGUGAUGCUGCAGUGGUUGCAGUGCCCCCUACCGUUCCCUGAAUAUGGAUUUAGUGCCCAUGCAGUAGUUGUAGUGUCCCACAUGUUGGAUGUCGUAUGUUGUGAUGGAAGAUGAAGUGCCAACGAAUGUGGAUUCAGUGAGCCUGUGCU